UCAUCAUCCAGGUCGAGUUUAAGCCGAGGGUCGCCAGAUGUGCGGUAUUUCCCAGCUUUGGGCCUCGCAACAAAAGGGAAAUCACACGUGUUUUGAGUUCACAAAACGGAAAUUCAGGCAUUGGAAGUCUUAUACAAGAAGGGUACACUGAGGAAGAAGCAGUGCUAUUGCUUCACUGGAUGAGCAUAGUACAGAGGUGGAUGCGGAAGAUGCUGGAAUGGCAUUUAUGCUUCAAGCCAUUAGUAAGAGGAAGCACAAGGGUAAAAUUCAGUAUCUUGUGCAAUGGUCCAAUGGGGAGCCGCCAUCAUGGCAGUACAGUCAAGAUGUGGAUCCAAUAGUUAAGAAGGACUUCAACACUAAAAAAAAGUUCGUCAUGAUUGGGACGCUUGGAGUUCUGUUGUGCUUGGGAGCCAUAUAUAGUUGAAUUUCCCUCGCUAGACAGACUUGCUUUUAAAAACUCUCAGGGAUCUAUUAGCCAUGCUGUGUUGCCGGUCUUAUCCAAAAAUAAUUUUACGCGGUUGGAGUUCAGAAGAUAAUUUCAUCUACAUGUAUCAGUUGUUUCAAAACUAUUGUGAUUUUGCCAUUGGUGAAAUAUUGUUGUUCAUGUGGUAAUAAGAUUCUUGAUUUGCAUCAAAAGAAAAAUGCACCACCUGGUUUGUCCUAUGGAUAGACAACAAAUUUGAAAAAAUGCGUGGAUUGAUUUGUACGUGCACCACUGAUUCAAUUCUAGUUAAUUAACCUCGAAAUUUGGUUAAUAUGAUUUCCUAUUUUCCUUUUUACCUGAUAAACACAUUUUAAUUUGUCAUACUUGACUAUAAUGAGUGCACAUUUUGGCUGUUUUCUUCUGAGGCAGCAAUUCUCCCGUUGAUGUGGAAGGCCUGAUAAGAUUCUUGACAAUCUCUGGAAUUGAUUCUCCUGGGUAAAUAGUGAUGGUUAUAUAAUCAGAAUUUUGUAACUUUUGAAACUUGCAUAAUGUUCCCCUGUUUAAAUGAUACCUGGGAUACAAAAUUUCGGUUUUGUUGGGUUCCUAAUUUUGCCCCCACUGACUUUUGUAUUCUUGCUGUACUUGGAUGCUUGUACUUAAAAUUGUGGCUUGUUGUAUAUAAAAGGUCAAAUGUCCAUUAGACUGAGUUGAUUGGGUGUAGCCUCAUCUGUUCAUUGGAUGCCAUUAGAAGUACUGUUAACUCUUUCGCGUCCGCUCCCGGGCAUGGCCGGGUUGCGUUCCCAACAGUUGACGGCCGCUCCCGGCCAUGUCCGGGACCCUAUCUUCCCCGAUUCAAAUGCUUGUAGAGCCUACUAUGUGUACUAGGGAUAAAAUACGAGCACACCGUCUGCUUCGUAGAUAGUAUCGCCAUCUAUACAAAUUUUGACACCUUAUAUUGGCGGUUUGGGAGCUGGUAUUGACCUUUUAGUCGGGCAUCUUACCACGUGCAUGGUGUGAUAUUUGUUCCAGGUUUUCGAUUUUGCUAGCCAUAGGUAAAAGCCCUAUCUACACAUGUAACUGUUACUAACACGUAGUUUUAAGUCCAGAAGUCUCAGAAAUACAUUGAUUGCCAGUUUUAGCUAGGAUUUCAGUGGUUUUAGUGAUGUUUUUGUGAGGCCACGUGCUGAACAGUUCAGGCCUAUGCUAUACAGCCUCCCUUCUUCAUCAGAUUAUACGAUUUGUACACUAUAUUUUUCUCUCUUGCAUGUUUUAUGCAUUUCUCAGUGAUCUCAAAUGCAUCCUGAGGAUUGUGAUUUGCCAAGGUAUGGGUGUUUGAAGGCUUCAGGUACCUUUUUGUUGGAGUGGCCCAAACCCUGAAGUAUAACAGGACAUAUAUAUUGUAAUGUUUCUCAUCAUCAAAGUGCACUUGUCCCUGCAGGUAUUUUGUGAGCCAAAUCAAAGUGGCUUAGUUAGAAAACACUUACCGGUAUUCUUUUCAGAAAAGAUGGAAACUGAUGAGAUAGCCCAGAUUUUUAUGCAUAUGGAUUCUGAAGAUGAUUUUGGGGGAGAUAGCGACGAUGAAGACGAUCAGAUGGAUUAUCAAAGUGCAAGCCCUGAACCUCUGAUUCUCUGAUGCAGGAGAUGCUGUGAGGCUGGAGGCAAGAUACUCUGAGCAUUGGCCUGAAGAUCUUCCUUUUCAGGAUGCUACACCUGGGGUGAAGAGACGGAGGAAGUUGCGCAUUUGUGCACAAUGUCGAAAGGAUCCAAAUCCAUAUGUUGUGAACCACGACCUUCCACGUGUUCCCCCCAGGCCGGAGUCAUCAGUCCAAUGCCUUAAGUGCCAGGUAGCCCUCCACAUCACCCCCUGCUUCAAGCUGUGGCAUACAUCUGCCUAAUUAAUUCAACAAACAAGCUGGUAAUUGAAAAGUGUUUUUUUAGCAUUUAUCAGCUAUGAUCCGAAUCAUGCCCCCCACGACCCCCAAGCCCGGGGGGGGGGGGAUACAACAAAAGCUUGUCUUCUAUAUUGUUCUUUGAAUGUUUCCUCCCAAAAUUUAAUGUUUUCAGUGAUAAAUAACUAAAGGUAAACCAUUUUGAUUCAUUUCAAAACCGUUCAUAAUCAUUGAAAAAUGUGAAAAAAAUUUCGACCCUUGCACUCAGUUACUAUAAUAUUUUGCCUACAAGGGUUUAAUCUUUUGACCUGAAACACUACAUGCUAUUAGCUUAUGUUCUUAUCAUCAUUUCCUGAAAGUUUCAAAGCUGUAUUGAGUGAAAUAAACUUUCUAAACGUUUUCAAGUGAAAACAAGGAAAAUUUCCCUUUUUGCACCGAAUGACCCCAGAUUUUAGACCCCAAGGGGUUAAAAUUUUUGAAAACUUUGACUAUGUUCAUGUAGCUAAAGGUCUUGCCAUUAGUUUGUAAAAGUGUCGCCUUCAUAUUCCGAGCAACAAAAGUUCUAUGAUUUUUUUAGCAAAAAAUUUCUUUUUCUGCAUUCUUCCAAAAAAGUAUGCGGCCAGAGACUACGGUACACUAUAAAAGUAUGUGGACGCGAAAGGGUUAAGGGCCAGUUUAUGCUUUGUCACGAAAUAAAAAUGUUAAGCUCUGUGGUCAUGAUUAUGUCUUGAAAGACAGCUUGAUGAUUGGGUGUUUCUCUUCGGCCAAAACAACAUUUUUGCCAAGAAGAUUUGGCCGUCUCUUGUUCUGAACUCUUUAAUUGUUAGUGUUAAACAAAUUCUGGUGCAGACUAAUUUUGUUACCCAGAGUGCAUGGUAUUUUACUGUGCUGCAUUUUACACUUACGAAAUAUAU
Long non-coding RNA from Lineus longissimus, 3227 nucleotides. RefSeq lists it as uncharacterized. The record is from RefSeq and is a predicted model, not a curated record. NCBI's taxonomy places the organism in Eukaryota, Metazoa, Nemertea, Pilidiophora, Heteronemertea, Lineidae. The transcript is spliced from 4 exons.